This is a long non-coding RNA of Vespa velutina, 1149 nucleotides long. RefSeq lists it as uncharacterized. The record is from RefSeq and is a predicted model, not a curated record. The transcript is spliced from 3 exons. Lineage: Eukaryota; Metazoa; Arthropoda; Insecta; Hymenoptera; Vespidae.
CAAAGCGUGUGUGACUUUAGCGACAGGUAUGGACAAAAUAUGAACUGGAAAUACAUGCGGGGAACGCUGUCUCUACCAUACGUCUAUCGUAUCGGUAUAUAAGUUUGUUGGUUAUUCUUCUUUCGCGCGUAUAUAAUAAUUGGUUUUGUGUGGAUAGAGUCUCACUACGUGCAAAUUGCUGCAUCUGGAAACCAACGGGCUAACGGUGACUAUUCUAAAGUGCGUGUUCGCGAAAUAAUCUAAUGGAAUUUUCAAUAACAAAUAAAACAAAGUUCCCGGUAGGACUUUUAAUUGCGUUCGCGAACACUCACGUGAGUGUUUAGAAUAAUGCUGACUCUACGUUGAAAUUUGAGGUGACAUGAGCUAAGAGAAGGGUCAGUCUCCGCUUAUGGGUAACUGAACUGUCGCAACAUCGGCAACUACAUGUACUCUACUACUAAGUAGAAUCUUUCGUGUAUCCCAAAUUUCGAAUAAUACAAUGAAAUCCAUGAUAAGUCUAUCCCUCGUUGAUCCCUCUAUGAUCCCUGGAAAAGAAGAAGAGAAGAUGAAGAACAGAAAGAAAAGAAAUAUGAGAUAGAAAAGCGAAGCGAAGAAAGAAAAGAAAAAAGAGCCGGAACGUACACGCACGUGACAACGACGAAACCCAGAGCAAGAGGUGGACAUAGUGAAUAUCGCUCUACCCGAUCAAAAUCAGAAUAUCAAAAUCGAGCUCUAUUUUACCCUAUUGAAAGAAGGAGACCCGCUCAAGAUUCUUUCUAAAGAACCACAUUCAAAGGCCCAACCUAUGGGUCCCAACCGAAAUUUAUGAAUAAUAAUUAAUAAGAAUAAAUAGGAAUCACAGCGAACAUAAGUGCGGUAGAAAAAUUUUUUAUGCGUUUCUUUUAGAAAAUAUUUAAAAAUUCUACUAUAUUUAAUUAUUUAUCUAUUGAAAUAUUAAUUGCAAUAUAAAAUGUAAGUACUUUAAUGUUUAGUUAAAAUUCAUGAAUCUCGUACGUUCUUUGAAUGUUACAUAAGUGUUCAAUUAUGUUUGUCAAAAAAUAAAAUUUAAUUUCAUUUGUUAUAAUCGGGUCUUACGAUUUUGAUAAUGUUACUAAGAAUAUUUUAUUGCUUAAAUAUUAAUUUAUUCUAUUUCAUUUAUCUCGUACAUUG